GAUGAACGCUAGCGGCAGGCCUAAUACAUGCAAGUCGGACGGGAUUCCGGAGCUUGCUUCUGGUGCUCGAGGCGCAAGGGUGCGUAACACGUAUGUAUCAUCCCUUUAUCAGGGGGAUAGCACCUCGAAAGAGUGAUUAAGAUAGCAUAAAAUCACAGCACAGCCUUGUGUAAUGAUCAAAUGUUUCUGGGAUAAGGAUUGGCAUGCGGGACAUUAGCUAGAUGGCGGGGUAACGGUCCUACCUGGCGACGGUGUUUAGGGGAUCGGAGAGGAUGGCCCCCCAGAGGGUGACUGGGAAACGGACGAGAGACCUACGGGAGGCAGCAGUAAGGAAGACUGGUCAAUGGGCGGAAGCCUGAACCAGCCAUGCCGCGUGCAGGAAGACGGCCCGACGGGUUGUGAACUGCGGUUAGACGGGAAUAAUCCCAGAUACGGGUAUCUGGCUGAAGGUACUGGAUGAAGAAGGAUCGGCUAACUCCGUG
RNAcentral lists this ribosomal RNA (482 nucleotides) under uncultured bacterium. RNAcentral's name for it is "partial 16S ribosomal RNA". It matches the Rfam family "Bacterial small subunit ribosomal RNA", at positions 28 to 507 of the family's 1533-position model. The record is from RNAcentral.